Molecule: small nuclear RNA, 106 nt
Filed under: Prolemur simus (greater bamboo lemur)
Lineage: Eukaryota; Metazoa; Chordata; Mammalia; Primates; Lemuridae
Source: RNAcentral
GUGCUUGCUUUGGCAGCAUGUAUACUAAAAUUGGAACGAUACAGAGAAGAUUAGCAUGGCCCCGUGCAAGGAUGACAUGCAAAUUCGUGAAGCGUUCCAUUAAAAA